UGGGGAAUAUUGGACAAUGGGCGAAAGCCUGAUCCAGCAAUGCCGCGUGUGUGAAGAAGGCCUGAGGGUUGUAAAGCACUUUCAGUGGGGAGAAAGAGACCAUUGUUAAUAGCGAUGGUGGAUGAUGUUACCCAAAGAAGAAGCACCGGCUAACUCUGUGCCAGCAGCCGCGGUAAUACAGAGGGUGCGAGCGUUAAUCGGAAUUACUGGGCGUAAAGGGUGCGUAGGUGGUUUUGUAAGUCAGAUGUGAAAUUCCCGGGCUUAACCUGGGGACUGCGUCUGAUACUGCGAAGCUAGAGUCCUGUAGAGGAAAGUGGAAUUUCCGGUGUAGCAGUGAAAUGCGUAGAUAUCGGAAGGAACAUCAGUGGCGAAGGCGACUUUCUGGACAGAGACUGACACUGAGGCACGAAAGCGUGGGGAGCAAA
This 425-nucleotide ribosomal RNA is filed under the name uncultured bacterium. Its description in RNAcentral is "bacterial SSU rRNA". It matches the Rfam family "Bacterial small subunit ribosomal RNA", at positions 355 to 772 of the family's 1533-position model. The record is from RNAcentral.